RNAcentral lists this transfer RNA (62 nucleotides) under Sogatella furcifera (white-backed planthopper). RNAcentral describes it as "tRNA-Met". Lineage: Eukaryota; Metazoa; Arthropoda; Insecta; Hemiptera; Delphacidae. RNAcentral also lists the same sequence under 1 other name. The record is from RNAcentral.
AAAAAGAUAAGCUAAAAAAGCUAUUGGGCCCAUAACUCAAUUAUGAUUUAAAUCUCUUUUUA